Molecule: ribosomal RNA, 492 nt
Filed under: uncultured bacterium
Lineage: Bacteria
Description: partial 16S ribosomal RNA
Rfam family: Bacterial small subunit ribosomal RNA
Source: RNAcentral
GGUGAACGCUGGCGGUGGGCCUAACACAUGCAAGUCGAACGGCAGCACAGUAAGAGCUUGCUCUUACGGGUGGCGAGUGGCGGACGGGUGAGGAAUACAUCGGAAUCUACUUUUUCGUGGGGGAUAACGUAGGGAAACUUACGCUAAUACCGCAUACGACCUACGGGUGAAAGCAGGGGAUCUUCGGACCUUGCGCGAUUGAAUGAGCCGAUGUCGGAUUAGCUAGUUGGCGGGGUAAAGGCCCACCAAAGCGACGAUCCGUAGCUGGUCUGAGAGGAUGAUCAGCCACACUGGAACUGAGACACGGUCCAGACUCCUACGGGAGGCAGCAGUGGGGAAUAUUGGACAAUGGGCGCAAGCCUGAUCCAGCCAUACCGCGUGGGUGAAGAAGGCCUUCGGGUUGUAAAGCCCUUUUGUUGGGAAAGAAAAGCAGCAGGUUAAUACCCCGCUGUUCUGACGGUACCCAAAGAAUAAGCACCGGCUAACUUCGUG